UCCCCGGUGGCUUACAUGGUAAAGAAUCUGCCUGCAAUGCAGGAGACCAGGUUCGAUCCCUGGGUGGGGGAA
Molecule: non-coding RNA, 72 nt
Organism: Bos taurus (domestic cattle)
Lineage: Eukaryota; Metazoa; Chordata; Mammalia; Artiodactyla; Bovidae
Source: Rfam